Molecule: small nucleolar RNA, 117 nt
Filed under: Sorex araneus (European shrew)
Lineage: Eukaryota; Metazoa; Chordata; Mammalia; Eulipotyphla; Soricidae
Description: Small nucleolar RNA SNORA30/SNORA37 family (ENSSARG00000018469.1)
Source: RNAcentral
UAAGCAGCACAGGUUCUCUCCGAGGUAGGCUAGGAUUUGAUAGUGCUAAGAGAAAAACCCUUGAUUGAAACCUUGCCCUGGGAUUGUGCUGUGCAGCUGUCACUCAGUGGGAGAGAG